GCUAGUGCACUCAAAUUGAGAACACAGCUUCACAGGCAGAACACAACACACAGAUGCAAGGUCUCCUGAUGGCAGAAAACCUUAUAACAUGCUUCAGGUGACUACAGCCAGCUCCAGAGGUUCCAAAGAUCUUAAAGAUGUCCCAGAAAAGUUCUAGAGUACUAUCAGAUCUCACACUUUGCCUUGGAAGCUGUCAUUCCCCUCCAUUGGCCCCACAACUGCAGUAUAAUCUUCAGUGACAGGAGAAAAUCGACCUUGUUUGUACAGAAGUCUCAGCAGGAAUAGGCAGAUGCCUGUUUUUGCUGCCAAGGAUGGAGGAUUGGAAUGGGCCCAUUAUAUAUUUUGAGGCUUUGAAGAAAAGUCUCAGGAUAUGUUUUCCCAUUAAAAUACUGUUAUAAACAAUUAGA
Molecule: long non-coding RNA, 407 nt
Filed under: Homo sapiens (human)
Lineage: Eukaryota; Metazoa; Chordata; Mammalia; Primates; Hominidae
Description: HSALNT0314013
Source: RNAcentral